GCGCGCCUCAAUUUCAAAGGAUUAAAAUUAUUUAAGUGAGUGCCAUGCGUUUUGAUAUUUUAUUUAUCACGACACGACUCAAAUAAUUUCAAAGGGCUUUAUUCAAUUAAAUCAAAUUACGUAUAUUCAAGAUUGUCUCCUAAACUACUUUGAGAUUAUUGCAAUGCCGAAUUUAAGGACAAGAUAAUAUUAGGGGGCAAAUAGGCUAGCUAACAUGAUCUAUUAUUUGGCCAGAUUCCUUAGGGUCCAAAACUUCCUUAUGGGCCAUUCUUAUUCCUUGCCAAGAAAGAAACAACUCCAAUUUUUUCUAUUUACCCAAUUAAAAGCAUUUAUUCAAGAACCAAGUCUACAUAUAUCACAAUCGAAAUAAAAACUAAUUAAAAUAAUUUAAACAAAAACUAAGAAAUGCUAUUCAAAUAAUGUAGAAUCACAAAUCAACACGCGCACCAUACUAUUAUAACAUAAUGAAAUAAGAAUAAAAAUUGAGAAAUGGACCUUCUAUAGAGAUUUCAAUAGCAAAAUUUAAAAAAGAAAAAGACUUACGCUCAAAAACCUCGAACGUACCCCUCAAACAUAUAUCACGUCCAUUGAUAAUCCUAUUUGAUGUUGAUACAUAAUUAUUUGCACAACCGAUCGAAAGUGGGUGUGUGUAACAAAAUACGCAAACAAUUUCGACAUAUCAAUUGGUGGAACUCCCUUUGUCUCUUCUGGUUCUAUGCAAAUUGAUUUCAAGAUCAAUUUUACUUUUAACACUAAUUCACUAUUUAGUAUCCCUUUCCGUCUAUUCCCCCUCCCUGUUCAUGUACGUGUGUGUGUUUAUAUGUGAAUGAUUGGAAAAGCAGUGGGUGCUGCCAGCUUUCCCCUCAAUCUUUCUCUUUCCCCAGUUGUUUUCUAUUUCUAUUUUGUUUGGUGUGUGUUGCGGCUGCUUUUCCAAAAUCAGUUCAAGUGAGAGUCCGAUGGGAAUUUUGAUGGGUG
RNAcentral lists this long non-coding RNA (975 nucleotides) under Nicotiana benthamiana. Its description in RNAcentral is "long non-coding RNA (NBEN_LNC039796)". The record is from RNAcentral. Lineage: Eukaryota; Viridiplantae; Streptophyta; Magnoliopsida; Solanales; Solanaceae.